GGUGGCUCAGUGGUAGAGUGCUUGCCUUGCAUGCAUGAGGCACUGGGUUCAAUUCCUGAGCACCA
Molecule: transfer RNA, 65 nt
Filed under: Dipodomys ordii (Ord's kangaroo rat)
Lineage: Eukaryota; Metazoa; Chordata; Mammalia; Rodentia; Heteromyidae
Rfam family: tRNA
About the family: Transfer RNA (tRNA) molecules are approximately 80 nucleotides in length.
Source: Rfam by way of RNAcentral